GUUUAAUUUCGGUUCUCCCUUGAGCUGGCCCGCUGUUCUAACAGCAUCUCCUACUCUAAUAAACUUUAUUCUCCUCUCAUUCUGCCUCAGGUCUGGAAAUUCUUUUCCAACCCGUGCCCGGACCACGACACGACUUUUUACGACCUCAUGGAUGUAGCCCGUCAGGGCCCUCUGUCCAUGGGAUUUCCCAGUGCUGCCUUCUGAGAAAUCUGUAUACAGAUCAAGAAGCAACAGUUAGAACCAGACAUGGAACAACAGACUGUUUUCAAACUGGGAAAGGAGUACAUCAAAGCUGUAUAUUGUCACCCUGCUUAUUUAACUUACAUACAGAGCGUAUCAUGUGAAAUGCCAGGC
Molecule: long non-coding RNA, 354 nt
Organism: Bos taurus (domestic cattle)
Lineage: Eukaryota; Metazoa; Chordata; Mammalia; Artiodactyla; Bovidae
Source: Ensembl